Molecule: transfer RNA, 86 nt
Filed under: Bacteroidota bacterium
Lineage: Bacteria; Pseudomonadati; Bacteroidota
Description: tRNA-Leu
Rfam family: tRNA
About the family: Transfer RNA (tRNA) molecules are approximately 80 nucleotides in length. Their secondary structure includes four short double-helical elements and three loops (D, anti-codon, and T loops).
Source: RNAcentral
GCCCAGAUGGUGGAAUAGGUAGACACGCAGGACUUAAAAUCCUGUGGCCAUAACGGCCGUGCGGGUUCGAUUCCCGCUCUGGGUAC